AAAAUCAUUAUUUACAAAUUUUCAAUCUUUCCAAAAAUUAAAUUGAAAAAAAUAUUAGAAUAUUAGUAUGAAGGAUAUUUUAAAACUUUUUGAUCACAUAACUAAAUGAAAAAUAAUCUCAAAUAUAAUAAUAAUUAAUUAAUUAGCAAUAUUGCUUUUUUUAUAAUGAAGAGGAUUACCUUAGUAUCAAAUGUGGAUGAAAGAAUAUAUUAAUAUCUGGAAAUGAAGGAAAGAAGAAUUGAAAUUACAAAAAACUUAAAAAGUCUUCGAGACUAGUGCUUCACACUGAAGGAAUAGGAGCAAUAUAGUACUAACCCCUUUUCGCGUAUUGUAAAAAAAAUUAUUGGUUAGCAACACAAUCACAGCAAAGAAAAACGAAUUUCGUAUUGUUUUCUAUUUUUUUAUUCAAAGGUACCAAUUAGUGGAAUAAUUUCUCAGGCUUAACUGUGUUGGUCUGCUCCAUUUAUUUAUAAUCGACAAAUGUGUAUGAAAAAAUAAACUACCUAAAAUUUAAUUCGCAGAAAAACGGCAAUGGAGCGACACAACAAGCGGGACUACCUGCAGAAGCAGUAGCAUGACCAACGCACAGCCAUCUCCAUAUAUUUCAUUAUUGAGCUGAAAAUCUGCAAGAGAUUAGUUUGUGUGCCAAGAUCCAACCAUUUGCUAAAGGCCACGCACACGCAUCAAAGCUAGAGUUUUGAAAACUUUGUCAUCAUCUAAGCUUACCAGUGAAUACACAUAUUUUUUUAUACAAAUACUACUCUCCAAGAAUCGUACGCUUGCGCAUCUUUCCCCCCACAAUUUAGGAACAUUAAUAUGAGCGUAAAAUGCUUCAUAAGAAGCCGCCGAAGCAAAGCUUUCAGCAAGCAGACAGGGAAAGACCAAUAAAUUCAUUUUAAUGCUAUAUACACACAACAGUGAAAAGACAAAGCAGUAUACAGCCACAACGGAGGAGUUUGUUGGAUGUUCUCUUCUGUAAAUGCUACGCGAAGAUAAGCUAAUUAUGUUGGCGCUUAAGUUUAGUUGGAUACAAAAAUAGAUAUGCACGUGUAUAGAUCGGCAGCGGAUAUGAAAUGAUAAUAAAUUCAAAAUUUGAUUUAUUUCACCAUAAGCUAAAGAUAUUUAAUGAGUUACAAUUAAAAGAUAUACACAUUUAUAACGUUAUUUCAAUGGCUUGUGGGUUUUUAAAUGUUUUUUGCUUUUUAUUUACUUUUAUUUCUCAGAUCAUCUAAGUUACCAAUAUUGCCCACUCUUGAAGUGGAAAUUGAAGUUAACACAGCUGAAAGGAAUCGUUUCUCAGUUACAAAUAUUUAUGAUAGCCUGCAGAUACCGUGAUAAUACAGAUUUUCAGCCAUCACAUACUAGUUGAUUCGAACAAAUAUUUUUUGAAAGAAUUCUUUCCGCAGAAAAAAGGCGGCUGCUCUGAUUGCAUACACGAUAAUUCCGAGAAAAUAACGUAAAAAUGUACAUGCAUACAUAUCUAUACACUGAAAUACGCAUGCGCAACGUAAAUGAAAUUGUUGUUCGUCUGUGGUUUUGUUGCGGCAGUUGACUUGUUGCAAAAACGCAUGUUUCACAUGCCAUCAAUAGCUCACAGCCGACAAGCAGACAGACGAGCCCAUGACUGCAAGGACCCAUCAGACUGACUAAUGAUAAUGGUUCAUCAACACUUUCAUCAUUAACGUGUCAUCUUUGAUGUUUCAACAUGAGGACAAGUGAGAAGAUCCAAAAUUAAGGAACAAACCGUGUUUUUUAUCAAGAAAAUGCGAAAUAAAUAAAGAAAUGUCAGAGGAGAGUGCAUAAAGAAUAUUUGAAAAAGGGAAAUAUUUGUGAAAAGAUGUUGCACUCAGCAUUUUAGGUUAUGUUUACAUGAUAUAAAUAGGUAAAGAACACUAUGACUUUAUUUUGAUGGCGCUUUUUUCAAUAUGCAAUCACUGUAAGCACAACUCCGUAAAUGAGUUGUGAA
Molecule: long non-coding RNA, 1966 nt
Organism: Zeugodacus cucurbitae (melon fly)
Lineage: Eukaryota; Metazoa; Arthropoda; Insecta; Diptera; Tephritidae
Exons: 3
Source: RefSeq, a predicted model, not a curated record